RNAcentral lists this transfer RNA (73 nucleotides) under Capillidium heterosporum. RNAcentral's name for it is "Conidiobolus heterosporus tRNA-Lys". It matches the Rfam family "tRNA". From Rfam's summary of the family: Transfer RNA (tRNA) molecules are approximately 80 nucleotides in length. Their secondary structure includes four short double-helical elements and three loops (D, anti-codon, and T loops). The record is from RNAcentral. Lineage: Eukaryota; Fungi; Entomophthoromycota; Entomophthoromycetes; Entomophthorales; Capillidiaceae.
GAGAAUAUAGCUUAAAGCUUAGAGCAUUAAACUUUUAAUUUAAGGGGUUUGGGUUGGAAUCCCAAUAUUUUCA